Non-coding RNA from Schistosoma mattheei, 45 nucleotides. NCBI's taxonomy places the organism in Eukaryota, Metazoa, Platyhelminthes, Trematoda, Strigeidida, Schistosomatidae. The record is from Rfam.
AUCCAGAUGACGAGUCCCAGAUGGGACGAAACGCGCGGCCUAGAU